AUAACAGUUAGAAAUGACUGCUAAUACCGCAUAAGACCACAGCAUCGCAUGGUGCAGGGGUAAAAACUCCGGUGGUAUGAGAUGGACCCGCGUCUGAUUAGCUGGUUGGUGGGGUAACGGCCUACCAAGGCGACGAUCAGUAGCCGACCUGAGAGGGUGACCGGCCACAUUGGGACUGAGACACGGCCCAAACUCCUACGGGAGGCAGCAGUGGGGAAUAUUGCACAAUGGGGGAAACCCUGAUGCAGCGACGCCGCGUGAAGGAUGAAGUAUUUCGGUAUGUAAACUUCUAUCAGCAGGGAAGAAAAUGACGGUACCUGACUAAGAAGCCCCGGCUAACUACGUGCCAGCAGCCGCGGUAAUACGUAGGGGGCAAGCGUUAUCCGGAUUUACUGGGUGUAAAGGGAGCGUAGACGGUAUGGCAAGUCUGAUGUGAAAGGCCAGGGCUCAACUCUGGGACUGCAUUGGAAACUGUCGAACUAGAGUGUCGGAGAGGCAAGUGGAAUUCCUAGUGUAGCGGUGAAAUGCGUAGAUAUUAGGAGGAACACCAGUGGCGAAGGCGGUUUGCUGGACGAUGACUGACGUUGAGGCUCGAAAGCGUGGGGAGCAAACAGGAUUAGAUACCCUGGUAGUCCACGCCGUAAAC
This 646-nucleotide ribosomal RNA is filed under the name uncultured bacterium. RNAcentral's name for it is "bacterial SSU rRNA". It matches the Rfam family "Bacterial small subunit ribosomal RNA", at positions 143 to 807 of the family's 1533-position model. The record is from RNAcentral.